This is a non-coding RNA of Macaca mulatta (Rhesus monkey), 1080 nucleotides long. The record is from RefSeq and is a predicted model, not a curated record. NCBI's taxonomy places the organism in Eukaryota, Metazoa, Chordata, Mammalia, Primates, Cercopithecidae.
AUGGGUCCAGCUGAGCCAUCCCUGCUGGGAAAACGUGGCCACAGGGUUGUGCUGUACCCACCCUUCUCCGGCAAGACAGCCCUCGGCCUGUGCCACUGCUUCCAGCCUCGCCACUGCAUGGCAGCUUUUGGUCUGUUUCCAGCUCUGCCCUCUGCCCUGAAUUCUCAUCCAGCUUGUACCUGCCUGCUUGAGCCCUCCACCUGGAGGCCAGCCAUGUCUCAGACUCAGCCCUACCCUCCUGUCCUCAAAUUCAGAGUGUUUCCUGUUUAGGUUUCCCUGGCUUUGUGAAUGGAUCAUGCGUCUCUAGGUACAAACCUGCCAUCAUCUUUCUGCCUGCCUCACCUCCACCGGAUCUCCCCAGUUCUGUCUCCAUCUUCCACCUGCAACUGCUCUGUUCUCAUGGUCACUGCCGCAUCACUCGAGUCCAGACCCUUGUUACCAUUUUCAAACCGGCCUCCUUCCCUUGUUCCCCCAUUCUUAAAGCCACUGCCACCAGAUUAAGCUUUCUCCAGCCAAAUCACCUCUCUUUGAGAAACCUCCAUUGAAACGGAAACGCCAUUGCCUGGCACACAUACUCACAUACUCACCUUCCCGUCUUGAUCCCCAUGCAUCUUUCCAGCCUCCCCUCCCACUCUACUCCCUCCUGCCCCUCCCCUCCCCUCCCCUCUGAAUCCAACCCAGCGGGCUUCUUCUGCCUCCAUCAUAUCACAGAAGUACCUCCUGCUUCUGGUUUCAAUUAGAGCCUUCCCUGAUUACAUUUUCCUCUGAAUUUUUUCCUAUCUACAUUUGAUCUGUCAUGUUUAAACCCCCUACUUCUAAGGGACCUUCUCUAAUCUCAUUCUCAUCCCCAAAUAGUGUUUUCUUCCUCUGGGUUCUUGUAAUGUUGGUAUCAAUCUCAGCAUUUAGUGCUUCCUGCCUGGUGUGACAGUUACCUGUGUGCAUGUGCAAUUUCUAAUUUCCCACGCUAGACUGUGAGCUUCCUAAGGCAAGAAUCAUGCCUUGUUGGUUUCUGUAUUCCUCAUGGCGCCAAACACAGUGCCUUGUACAUUGCAGGCGCUAAAUAAACAUUUUUAAAGCAAA